UCUUCUUAGCCCAAAUCUAAACCCAACAAGACAUGGACCCAACCCAAUUUCCUAAAUCCAAGCCCAUUUACCCAUUCCCCUCUUAGAUCCAAAUAAAAUAAAAACCUAGGGACCUAAAUAAGAGGAAGAGAUUUCCCUACACAAAAGGAGGAGAUCGGCCAAUUUCCUAAGGUUAAAAAAAUGGCAGCCUUCUCUUUAGCUGGAAGAGGAACGCAGAAACAGAGAGAGUCUUCAGUUGUUCACCCUUCAGCCCUCUCUCUCUCUCGAGUGAUUUUUGGCACCACUGCUGCCCGCCGGAGUUGGUCGCCGGGGAUGACUAGAACAACCAUGUAAUCUUCCAUCAAUUUCACUCUAACAGAUCCACACAGAACAACCAUGAAAUUGCUCAAAAAUGCACCCCAAAACAGCCUCGUCUCCAACCCAGUUCCACCAUUGUUUCAGAUGCUAACCACUAGCUAAAACGUCCAUCCAAAACCAGCUUAUUCCACCCUUAAACCCAGCCAAAUAUCAUCACAAAACCCACUUAAAAAUACCUCAAAACAGUCUCGUUUUCACAAAAGCAAAUAGCAGCGUCAAAAGUUGAGAUCGAAGGCGCCGUUCGCAAGCUUGGUCGCGGUCCAAUUUUCUGCCAAAGUUUCGUCGUCGACUUCUCGAUCUUUAUUCCAUUCCUCAGCUUCCUUGUUAAAUAUUUGUCUUGGAGAUUUUUAUUAAAUACAAAAGGUCCUUCCCUUUUCUCUUUACAAAGUCACUUAUGCAUUUUAAAAUGAAUUUUCUGAUUAGUUCUUAUUUGAUGUGCUUUAUUUAUUGAUUGUGUUUGUAUGCUUUGAGUUCCGUUACUUUGCUUCUAUUUGAUGUGGAUAUUCAUUCCACUGUUCUCAUGAAUUUGGAAGAAUUGUCUAAUGCUAAAGCAUGGGGUUAUAUGAAUUUCUAAUUGAUUAAGUAGCGUUGGGAUUUAAUAACUAAAAAUGUGAAAUUGGGCUGUUCGUUUAGGAAUAAGUAGAAACGAAGUCAUCAGUUGGUUCCAAAGUUAAAGAUUUAGUUCUUUCAUAUACAUAUAGUUUUAGUGUCCUUUAAUAUAAUUUUGACAAGGCCCAAAAUAAUAAAGUAACAAGAUGGCCUAUUUCUCUUUAAUAAAUAUGUUUCCAUAAAAUGAUCCACAUACGUUAGAAUGAUUUAGGAGUCACUUAAUCUAUUAUUGUGAUUGUCUACACGUCCGCGUUACAUAAUUAUGAUUCUAAAAAAAUGAAUCAAGGUAUGCGUUCUCGCAAUUUCGGCCAAACUUUGUUAAUAAUAAUAAAGCGUGAUUAAUUGUGAACACGUACGCGUGACAUAAUUCUUGACACGCCAAACGAAAUGAGUACACGUAUGCUUGACUCGUUUCAGGUUAAUUUCUUAAUUAAAAGCGGUUAAGGGCGUAGAUGCACAAAGGUUUAAAAAAUAAGUAAUUAAACAAUUUAAUUAGUCAGGUAUGAUUAAAGCGAUCGUGCUAAAACCACGGAACUUGGGAAUGCCUAACACCUUCUCCCGGGUUAACAGAAUUCUACCCGAAUUUCUGUGUUUCGCAGACCAUAAAAUAGAGUCAAACUUUCUCGAUUCGGAAUUUUAAACCGGUGACUUGGGACACCAUAAAUUAUCCCAAGUGGCGACUCUGAAUUUGAUAUAAAUAAUCAUGUUUCGAUUAUUGUCACUUUAAUUGGAAAAACUCCCUUGUAUCCCCUUUCGGGGUAGAAAGAGGAGGUGUGACAGCUCUGGUGACUCUGCAGGGGACAAGAACCCAGAAUCUCUGGUUCAGGGUUCAAGAAUUCGAGCUUGUGUUGUGAUUUUUACUUGGCUUUAUUUAUUGUUCAUAUUACCGUAUUUGUGGACCUAAUGUGCUAACUACUGCUUAUUUACCACUUUGAUAGUAUUUGAAUUGUAUUAAACUGUCUUCUUAUGCCUACCAUCUGAGUCUUCUAAAAAAUGGUGCACACAUUCGCGUGACCCACUUUUCUGUUAGAAGUUAUACCAAAUAGAGCGAGGCUGGGCCAGCAACAAGGCCGGGUAGACUUUCGUGCUCCCGGUACGUUGCCCCCAUCUCGGUUCGAGCUGUCCGCUCGGGUAAGCCAGGUCUAGAACACAACCCCAGGUUUAAACCUAGAAUAACAUAACCUCAUGUCGGAUCCCUAGUAGGAACGUUUUUUUGCAUCACGUGCAUUUGACUUAAGGGACUCAACACAGGGGUUGGGUCCAUCUAGGACAUGUGUACCCAAAAAAUAAAAGACUAUCCUGAUGCAUCCUAUGUGCUAUAUGUCACAUUUUUUCAAGGGUAAAAGGGUCAUUUGGCGGACCAAUGAUGUUUGAGGGUAAAUGAGAUAGAAAAAAGGGUGAAGUGUGAAAAUGAAGCCAGUAGGGCCUAGUUGUAUUUUUCUUUCACAUUUUUUUCCAAGAAAAAGACCAAAAAAAAUGAAAAUAAAAAAUCCAAAAAAAAGGGAAAAGAAAAUCCAAAAAGAGUUUACAUGCUUCAUCAUUUUUCAAGAAAAACAAAAAAUAUAUUUUCUUCAAAUCAGUUAUUUUUUUUAAUUCUCGCCCGUAUCCAAUCUUCCCGAACUACGCAUACUUGAUUCUCGUCUUUCGGGGGGGAGGGGGGGGGGGUGGAUACGUAAGCAACCCACAUAGGGUUCGGUCUUCUUAGUGAGUCUUAGGUUCUUGGCUUCGCGGGGUCGUAGCCAAAUCUUGCAUGUCUAGCCACUUUUGGCCACGCAAGUUGUUUUGCCAAAAUAGCCUCAAUCAUGUCUUGCGUGUCUAACAGGAAGUGUUAUUGACUCACAUAGUAUUCUAGGUCUUUAACUUUAUUUGGUCUUAAUUUUCUCAUACAGGUGUGGAUCUACUUACUGGAGUUUGAGCAUGACAGAUACCUCGGGACCAUCCAGUCAGGAUAGCCCAUUCAGGAGUUGCUUAAGGAGAUUUUUUUUUUAUGUUUUGAGUCUGUUUUUCUUUUUAUGUCGUCUUUUACCUUCUAGUUUUGUACAUAAUGUUGAGUCUUUUAGGUGACGUUAGAGUCUGUCAUAGUCUAGCUAAGUUUGUCGAGUCUUUUGUUAUUGUACUUCCU
Molecule: long non-coding RNA, 3088 nt
Filed under: Nicotiana tabacum (common tobacco)
Lineage: Eukaryota; Viridiplantae; Streptophyta; Magnoliopsida; Solanales; Solanaceae
Description: long non-coding RNA (NTAB_LNC001712)
Source: RNAcentral